Molecule: ribosomal RNA, 96 nt
Filed under: Pogona vitticeps (central bearded dragon)
Lineage: Eukaryota; Metazoa; Chordata; Lepidosauria; Squamata; Agamidae
Source: RNAcentral
CCAUUCUUAACAUACCUAAUUUCAUCUGCUUUCAGAAGUUGAGCAGGGUCAGGCCUCGCUUCUAGUUGGAUGGGAAACCACCAAGUAAUAACUGGG